Molecule: ribosomal RNA, 497 nt
Filed under: uncultured bacterium
Lineage: Bacteria
Description: partial 16S ribosomal RNA
Rfam family: Bacterial small subunit ribosomal RNA
Source: RNAcentral
GAUGAACGCUGGCGGCGUGCCUAAUACAUGCAAGUCGAGCGAACAGACGAGGAGCUUGCUCCUCUGACGUUAGCGGCGGACGGGUGAGUAACACGUGGAUAACCUACCUAUAAUACUGGGAUAUCUUCGGGACACCGGAUCUAAUAUCGUAUAAUCUACUGAACCGCAUGGUUCAAUAGUAAAAGUCGGUUUUGCUGUAACUUCUAGAUGGAUCUCCGCUGCAUUAGCUAGUUGUGAAGGUAACGGGUUACCAAGGCAACGAUGCGUAGCCGACCGGUGAGAGUGAUAGGCCACCCGGGAGCGGGAACAGGGUCAAUACUCCUACGGGAGGCAGCAGUAGGGUAUCGUCCGCAAUAGGCGAAAACCUGACGGAGCAGCCGGGCGUGAGUUGUGGAAGUGUUGGGAGCGUAAAACUCUGUUAUUAGGGAAGAACAAAUGUGGAAGUAAAUAUGGACGGCUUGACGGUAACUAGUCAGAAAGCCACGGCUAACUACGUG